CUACGGGACGCUGCAGUGGGGAAUAUUGCACAAUGGAGGAAACUCUGAUGCAGCAACGCCGCGUGGAGGAUGACACUUUUCGGUGUGUAAACUCCUUUUAUAUGUCAAGAAAAUGACGGUAGCAUAUGAAUAAGCACCGGCUAACUCCGUGCCAGCAGCCGCGGUAAUACGGAGGGUGCAAGCGUUACUCGGAAUCACUGGGCGUAAAGGACGCGUAGGCGGGUUGGAAAGUCAGGUGUGAAAUCCUACAGCUUAACUGUAGAAAUGCACUUGAAACUUCUAAUCUAGAGUAUGGGAGGGGGAGAUGGAAUUAGUGGUGUAGGGGUAAAAUCCGUAGAUAUCACUAGGAAUACCUAAAGCGAAGGCGAUCUCCUGGAACAUUACUGACGCUAAGGCGUGAAAGCGUGGGGAGCAAACAGGAUUAGAUACCCCAGUAGUC
RNAcentral lists this ribosomal RNA (439 nucleotides) under uncultured bacterium. RNAcentral's name for it is "partial 16S ribosomal RNA". It matches the Rfam family "Bacterial small subunit ribosomal RNA", at positions 339 to 795 of the family's 1533-position model. The record is from RNAcentral.